UACGGGGGGGGCAAGCGUUGUUCGGAAUUACUGGGCGUAAAGGGCGCGUAGGCGGCCUGCUAAGUCACACGUGAAAUCCCUCGGCUCAACCGGGGAACUGCGUGUGAUACUGGCGGGCUUGAAUUCGGGAGAGGGAUGUGGAAUUCCAGGUGUAGCGGUGAAAUUCGUAGAUAUCGGGAGGAACACCGGUGGCGAAGGCGGCGACCUGGGUCGACACUGACGCUGAGGCGCGAAAGCGUGGGGAGCAAACAGG
RNAcentral lists this ribosomal RNA (253 nucleotides) under uncultured bacterium. Its description in RNAcentral is "partial 16S ribosomal RNA". It matches the Rfam family "Bacterial small subunit ribosomal RNA", at positions 524 to 776 of the family's 1533-position model. The record is from RNAcentral.